AGGGAAUUAGCUCAGCUUGGUAGAGCACUAGUUUUGGGAACUAGGUGUCGUCGGUUCAAAUCCGGCAUUCCCUACCA
RNAcentral lists this transfer RNA (77 nucleotides) under compost metagenome. RNAcentral's name for it is "tRNA-Pro". It matches the Rfam family "tRNA". From Rfam's summary of the family: Transfer RNA (tRNA) molecules are approximately 80 nucleotides in length. Their secondary structure includes four short double-helical elements and three loops (D, anti-codon, and T loops). Further hydrogen bonds mediate the characteristic L-shaped molecular structure. tRNAs have two regions of fundamental functional importance: the anti-codon, which is responsible for specific mRNA codon recognition, and the 3' end, to which the tRNAs corresponding amino acid is attached (by aminoacyl-tRNA synthetases). tRNAs cope with the degeneracy of the genetic code in two manners: having more than one tRNA (with a specific anti-codon) for a particular amino acid; and 'wobble' base-pairing, i.e. permitting non-standard base-pairing at the 3rd anti-codon position. The record is from RNAcentral.